Long non-coding RNA from Penaeus vannamei (Pacific white shrimp), 885 nucleotides. RefSeq lists it as uncharacterized. The record is from RefSeq and is a predicted model, not a curated record. Lineage: Eukaryota; Metazoa; Arthropoda; Malacostraca; Decapoda; Penaeidae.
GCCUUAAAUUUGGCAACACUACACAAUCGCAUUUUCCGUUGUAUGGAAUUAUGCGUAAAGCAGUUACUUAAAUGGCGCUUCCAUAAAGAAGAUAAGCCUAGCAAACACACAAAGGUCGGCGUGUAUUAAUAUAAACAUGCGUAGCUGUACAUACAUGUAUGCAUGCAUGUAUGUAUGUGAGCAGCAGCCGCAACUGCAGUCAGUCCAGACAUAUAACAGAGUGGUAAAAGAAUAACUGCAUGCGCCUUUCCAUCUGCCUCAGGAGAGAAACCAGCACCCGAGGGCGAGAGAAUAAGUGAUAUUUGGCAACAGGAUUUUACCAUUUCCUGUCGCCACUUCAAACGAACUUUUUGUCUCACAGGAAAUUGGAAGGUUAGAUGGAGCUGUGUGACCUGGAAGGAAGGACUUGCCACACGAACAAGGUUUUCAGAUAUGAUCCUUAUGCACAUCGGCAGCAAGGGCGGAGAAUUUUUAGGACACAGUUCUUGCUACUUACCAGCCUCUCGUAAAACUGAAAAUAUGUAAGGAUAAUCGAGUUCUCCCGAGCAAGAUGGUUCAUGGCGAUGGGGUGCCUGGGCGACCUGCACAUGACCUGAAAAUGAGUAAACAUCAUAUUUUAUGCAUUUCCACUGACAUUCAUUAAGGCUACGUAUGGCAAUGCUGGCGUAUGCAGGUAUAUGCCAGGUAAGGCAAACAGUAGACAGCUGACCUGGCAGAGAGGACAAGGAGCUGUAGCAAAUGCUGCUCAUUCAAGUAUUUGUUCAUUUUAUUCAUAGUUGGAUAUUAUGUUUACUAAUUGUUCUAUAUUUAAUCAAAGAGGAUUUGUUACACUGACAUUGGAUAAAAUAUGAAAUGUAAUGUUAAAUACAUUUUAUUAUUGAAGUU